GCUCAGAGUAUAAGCCAAUGGAGCUUGGAAGGCUUCCGGCAGUCCCGUUCAUCACACGUGGUGUUCGCAAGACCUAAAGCAUGGUUCGUGAGGCGAAGCAUUGAGUUUGCCGACCAGCCGUCGUGCGGGGGUUCGGUUCGGGGGUCCUAGGUUUCGGCCUUAGGUGCUCCUGGCUGUCCCCUUUUGAAUGGACGUUCAGAGCUUUUGUGUCUAAUGCGGUUACGCCCACCACGGCACGUUGUGAGGUCACCCACAGGCUCAAACUGCCGAUCGCGCAUCCAGGACGAUGGCAACGAUGCGUUGUUCAGCUCUACCCGAGCAGUCACGCGUGUCUAGUCCUGGGUCGGGCGGCGACCGAGAUAAACCUGGUAUGAUCCUCAUGCGACGAGCUGCUUUCUGGCCAGACCGACGCCCAGGCGCUUCCACUGUGCCGGAAGCGUCAAACCCAGGCGGUGUGAACCCAGCUGCAUUCUGCAAGGUCUCUCAGCCGGGCGUUGGUCUGAGUGGUGUUAAGUCCAGCACCAUCGGUCACGUCUCGAAACACGGGCCAAGGAGUAUAGCAUGUGUGCAAGUCUAAGGGUCUCACAAAACCCGAAGGCGAAGUGAAAGCAAGACUGUGGCGGGGGAGCUACGGCGAACCCGCCGGCCUAGUGGCGCGUGCGUCGCCUGGCUUUUAGCAGAGCUGAUCCUGUUUUCUCGGUUAAUUCUUGGUGCAGGCGCAAGCUCCGGGCUCACGUACAACACUGGUCACGCCUCGUG
Molecule: ribosomal RNA, 759 nt
Filed under: Niphargus aggtelekiensis
Lineage: Eukaryota; Metazoa; Arthropoda; Malacostraca; Amphipoda; Niphargidae
Description: partial 28S ribosomal RNA
Source: RNAcentral